Molecule: ribosomal RNA, 408 nt
Filed under: Deltaproteobacteria bacterium
Lineage: Bacteria; Pseudomonadati; Myxococcota; Myxococcia
Description: partial 23S ribosomal RNA
Rfam family: Bacterial large subunit ribosomal RNA
Source: RNAcentral
GCACCUCGAUGUCGGCUCAUCGCAUCCUGGGGCUGAAGCAGGUCCCAAGGGUUUGGCUGUUCGCCAAUUAAAGCGGUACGCGAGCUGGGUUUAGAACGUCGUGAGACAGUUCGGUCCCUAUCCUCCGUGGGCGGAGGAAAUUUGAGAGAUGCUACCCCUAGUACGAGAGGACCGGGGUGGACGGACCUCUGGUGUUCCUGUUGUCGCGCCAGCGGCAUAGCAGGGUAGCUACGUUCGGUACGGAUAACCGCUGAAAGCAUCUAAGUGGGAAGCCGUUCUCAAGACUAGAUUUCCCUCCCGUUUCGACGGGCUGAAGGCCACCUGAAGACGACAGGUUUGAUAGGCUGGGUGUGUAAGCGCGGUAACGCGUUGAGCUAACCAGUACUAAUAGGCCGUGAGGCUUGACCC